Molecule: non-coding RNA, 73 nt
Organism: Ixodes scapularis (black-legged tick)
Lineage: Eukaryota; Metazoa; Arthropoda; Arachnida; Ixodida; Ixodidae
Source: Rfam
UCCUGGUUAGCUCAGUUGGUAGAGCACUUCACUGGAAAUAAAAAGGUGCCUGGUUCAAUACCAGGAGCCGGCG